AACACAUGCAAGUCGAACUGAGAACGGAUUUUAGUUUACUAAAAUUGUCAGCUAAGUGGCGCACGGGUGAGUAAUAUAUAGUUAACCUGCCCCAAAGAAGAGAAUAAUUGAUGGAAACGUCUUGUAACUCUCUAUAUGCCUUUAUCACAUAAGUGAGCAAGGGAAACAUUUAUGGCUUUGGGAUGGGACUGUACGGUAUCAGAUAGUUGGUGAGGUAAUGGCUCACCAAGUCAAUGACGCCUAACUGGUUUGAGAGGAUGAUCAGUCACACUGGAACUGAGACACGGUCCAGACUCCAUACGGGAGGCAGCAGUGGGGAAUAUUGCACAAUGGAGGAAACUCUGAUGCAGCAACGCCGCGUGGAGGAUGACACAUUUCGGUGCGUAAACUCCUUUUAUAUAAGAAGAUAAUGACGGUAUUAUAUGAAUAAGCACCGGCUAACUCCGUGCCAGCAGCCGCGGUAAUACGGGGGGUGCAAGCGUUACUCGGAAUCACUGGGCGUAAAGAGCAUGUAGGC
Molecule: ribosomal RNA, 517 nt
Filed under: uncultured bacterium
Lineage: Bacteria
Description: bacterial SSU rRNA
Rfam family: Bacterial small subunit ribosomal RNA
Source: RNAcentral